UACGAAGGGGGCUAGCGUUGCUCGGAAUGACUGGGCGUAAAGGGCGCGUAGGCGGCCCCGCGCGGUCGGGCGUGAAAGUCCCGGGCUCAACCCGGGGACGGCGCCCGAGACGGCGGGGCUGGAGGCGGGGAGAGGGCCGCGGAAUUCCCAGUGUAGAGGUGAAAUUCGUAGAUAUUGGGAAGAACACCGGUGGCGAAGGCGGCGGCCUGGCCCCGUCCUGACGCUGAGGCGCGACAGCGUGGGGAGCAAACAGG
RNAcentral lists this ribosomal RNA (254 nucleotides) under uncultured bacterium. RNAcentral's name for it is "partial 16S ribosomal RNA". It matches the Rfam family "Bacterial small subunit ribosomal RNA", at positions 524 to 776 of the family's 1533-position model. The record is from RNAcentral.